ACGCUCGACACCUACGGGAGCAGCAGUGGGGAAUAUUGGGCAAUGGGCGAAAGCCUGACCCAGCAACGCCGCGUGAGGGAAGAAGGUUUUCGGAUUGUAAACCUCUGUCCUCAGGGACGAAGGACGUGACGGUACCUGAGGAGGAAGCCCCGGCUAACUACGUACCAGCAGCCGCGGUAAUCUGAGCGGGCUGGCAAGGC
Molecule: ribosomal RNA, 200 nt
Filed under: uncultured bacterium
Lineage: Bacteria
Description: partial 16S ribosomal RNA
Rfam family: Bacterial small subunit ribosomal RNA
Source: RNAcentral